RNAcentral lists this non-coding RNA (84 nucleotides) under uncultured Bariatricus sp. Its description in RNAcentral is "NiCo riboswitch". It matches the Rfam family "NiCo (Nickel/Cobalt) riboswitch aptamer". The record is from RNAcentral. Lineage: Bacteria; Bacillati; Bacillota; Clostridia; Lachnospirales; Lachnospiraceae.
ACAGUACAAACUGAGCAGGCCGUGGCAUAUGCCAAGGGAGCCGGGUCACAUAAGUGGCAGUGGAUAACGCAUCCGCGGGACAGU